UCGCUGCUUGCGCAGGCAGUCUCACUAGAGUCCCCGGCAUGAUCCGCUGGCAACUAAAAGCAGGGGUUGCGCUCGUUGCGGCACUUAAGCCAACACCUCACGGCACGAGCUGACGACAGCCAUGCAGCACCUGUGCUAGCCCCUUGCGGACACGGGCUUUCACCCGCUUUAACUAGCAUGUCAAGCCUAGGUAAGGUUCUUCGCGUUGCAUCGAAUUAAACCACGUACUCCACCGCCUGUGCGGGCCCCCGUCAAUUCCUUUGAGUUUCAGUCUUGCGACCGUACUCCCCAGGCGGCGAACUUAACGCGUUAGCUUCGAUACUGCGUGCCAAAUUGCACCCAACAUCCAGUUCGCAUCGUUUAGGGCGUGGACUAC
Molecule: unclassified non-coding RNA, 376 nt
Filed under: uncultured bacterium
Lineage: Bacteria
Description: contains 16S-23S intergenic spacer region
Source: RNAcentral